GAUGAAGAACGUAGCGAAAUGCGAUAAGUAAUGUGAAUUGCAGAAUUCAGUGAAUCAUCGAAUCUUUGAACGCACAUUGCGCCCGCCAGUAUUCUGGCGGGCAUGCCUGUUCGAGCGUCAUUUCAACCAUCAAGCCCCCGGCUUGUGUUGGGGACCUGCGGCUGCCGCAGGCCCUGAAAAGCAGUGGCGGGCUCGCUGUCACACCGAGCGUAGUAGCAUACAUCUCGCUCUGGGCGUGCUGCGGGUUCCGGCCGUUAAACCACCUUCAUAACCCAAGGUUGACCUCGGAUCAGGUAGGAAGACCCGCUGAACUUAAGCGUAUCAAUAAGCGGAGGA
Molecule: unclassified non-coding RNA, 336 nt
Filed under: soil metagenome
Description: partial contains 5.8S ribosomal RNA, internal transcribed spacer 2, and large subunit ribosomal RNA
Rfam family: 5.8S ribosomal RNA (bases 1-120)
Source: RNAcentral